RNAcentral lists this transfer RNA (72 nucleotides) under Marmota monax (woodchuck). RNAcentral describes it as "tRNA.Ala". It matches the Rfam family "tRNA". From Rfam's summary of the family: Transfer RNA (tRNA) molecules are approximately 80 nucleotides in length. Their secondary structure includes four short double-helical elements and three loops (D, anti-codon, and T loops). Lineage: Eukaryota; Metazoa; Chordata; Mammalia; Rodentia; Sciuridae. The record is from RNAcentral.
GGGGUUGUGGCUCAAGUGGUAGAGUGCACACCUAGCACAUGUGAGGCACUGGGUUCGAUCCUCAGCACCACA